CACGCCGUAAACGAUGGAUGCUAGUUGUUCGGAGUAUCGACCCUCUGAGUAACGAAGCUAACGCGUUAAGCAUCCCGCCUGUGGAGUACGAGCGCAAGCUUAAAACAUAAAGGAAUUGACGGGGACCCGCACAAGCGGUGGAGUGUGUUGUUUAAUUCGAGGAUAAGCGAAGAACCUUACCCAGGUUUGACAUCCUGCGAAUUUCUCCGAAAGGAGAAAGUGCUUUAUUGAAUGCAGUGACAGGUGA
RNAcentral lists this ribosomal RNA (247 nucleotides) under uncultured Candidatus Saccharibacteria bacterium. RNAcentral describes it as "partial 16S ribosomal RNA". It matches the Rfam family "Bacterial small subunit ribosomal RNA", at positions 796 to 1041 of the family's 1533-position model. The record is from RNAcentral. Lineage: Bacteria; Candidatus Saccharimonadota.